Molecule: ribosomal RNA, 301 nt
Filed under: uncultured bacterium
Lineage: Bacteria
Description: partial 16S ribosomal RNA
Rfam family: Bacterial small subunit ribosomal RNA
Source: RNAcentral
CAGUCGCCGCGGUAAUACGAAGGGGGCUAGCGUUGUUCGGAAUCACUGGGCGUAAAGGGUGCGUAGGCGGGCAUUUAAGUCAGGGGUGAAAUCCCGAGGCUCAACCUCGGAACUGCCCUUGAUACUGGAUGUCUUGAGUCCGGAAGAGGUGAGUGGAACUGCGAGUGUUGAGGUGAAAUUCGUAGAUAUUCGCAAGAACACCGGUGGCGAAGGCGGCUCACUGGUCCGGAACUGACGCUGAGGCACGACAGCGUGGGGAGCAAACAGGAUUAGAGACCCCUGUAGUCCCUGUCUCUUAUAC